RNAcentral lists this ribosomal RNA (253 nucleotides) under uncultured bacterium. Its description in RNAcentral is "partial 16S ribosomal RNA". It matches the Rfam family "Bacterial small subunit ribosomal RNA", at positions 524 to 776 of the family's 1533-position model. The record is from RNAcentral.
UACGGAGGGUGCAAGCGUUGCUCGGAAUCACUGGGCGUAAAGCGUGCGUAGGCGGACUUCCAAGUCGGGUGUGAAAUCCCGGGGCUCAACCCCGGAACUGCACCCGAUACUGUUGGUCUAGAGUAUCGGAGAGGGUAGCGGAAUUCCUGGAGUAGCGGUGAAAUGCGUAGAUAUCAGGAAGAACACCUGUGGCGAAAGCGGCUACCUGGACGAAUACUGACGCUGAGGCACGAAAGCGUGGGGAGCAAACAGG